UUUCAAGAAAUAGCUUGACUUUUCAAAAAAAAAAUGCCAGAAAGUUAUUUUAAGAAUAAACUAUAAUUGUCUAGGAAGUUAUCAAAACAUCCCACAAAAAGUAGGGUAGAGAUCUUCAUGUAUGGAUAUAUAAUUAACUAUAACUAGGAAUAUUGAAAUUUGCAGCUAAUUUGGAAAUGAGAACUCUUUAUCAAGACAUAUAUUAGAUAAUAAUCCCGUUGGUUUAAUUACAUAUUUGUUUGAGAAAUUUUCUGUUGGUAAAAAUAAGGACAAUAUUUAUUCAACAACGGCAGGAUUACAACAUUUUGAUUUAACGACUAUAAUGGACAUAAUUUUAUUUCAUUACUGGUUUCCGAAAAAGGCAACAACAGCUGCUAGAUACUAUUGUGAAAAUUCCAGCAUAGAAGGACUCCUAUCAGGAUUACACAAUAUACCUAUAGAUACAAGUGUUCCUUGUGGAUGUGCCUUUUUUGAAGAUGAAUUCAUUUAUCAACCCGAGAGUUUUCUUCGAGACAAGUAUCCAAAUUUAAUUCAAUAUAAUACUUAUCCUGCAGUUGGUCAUUUUGCAGCGAUAGAAGCUAAUGAUGUUCUCACCAAAGAUAUUAUUUUAUUUGUUAAUAAAUUAUAUGAAUCUAAUUUAUUGUAAUGCGCUUUGUAUAUUUUUACUUAACGUGGAAGCGUUGUUUAAAGCUGAUACGUCCCAUAAAAUAAUUGAUAACACAAUGAUAUUAAAUAUUUGUUAAUGGUUUUUGAAAAAUAUACGAAAAUACAAACUAAA
RNA transcript from Diorhabda carinulata, 778 nucleotides. It is a transcript of the gene named epoxide hydrolase 1-like, with no coding region annotated. The transcript has 3 exons. Lineage: Eukaryota; Metazoa; Arthropoda; Insecta; Coleoptera; Chrysomelidae. The record is from RefSeq and is a predicted model, not a curated record.